Molecule: ribosomal RNA, 119 nt
Filed under: Pteropus alecto (black flying fox)
Lineage: Eukaryota; Metazoa; Chordata; Mammalia; Chiroptera; Pteropodidae
Source: RNAcentral
GUCUAUGGCCAUGCUACCCUGAACAAGUUCGAUCCCAUCUGAUCUCAGAAGCUAAGCAGGGUCAGGCCUGGUUAGUACUUGGAUGGGAGACCUCCUAGGAAGACCUGGUACUGUAGGUG